ACAAUGGAGAGUUUGAUCCUGGCUCAGGAUGAACGCUAGCGGCAGGCCUAAUACAUGCAAGU
RNAcentral lists this ribosomal RNA (62 nucleotides) under Sandaracinomonas limnophila. Its description in RNAcentral is "Bacterial small subunit ribosomal RNA". It matches the Rfam family "Bacterial small subunit ribosomal RNA", at positions 1 to 62 of the family's 1533-position model. The record is from Rfam by way of RNAcentral. RNAcentral also lists the same sequence under 1 other name. Lineage: Bacteria; Pseudomonadati; Bacteroidota; Cytophagia; Cytophagales; Flectobacillaceae.